AUUGAACGCUGGUGGCAUGCCUUACACAUGCAAGUCGAACGGCAGCACGGGUGCUUGCACCUGGUGGCGAGUGGCGAACGGGUGAGUAAUACAUCGGCACAUGUCCUGUAGUGGGGGAUAGCCCGGCGAAAGCCGGAUUAAUACCGCAUACGAUCUACGGCUGAAAGCGGGGGACCUUCGGGCCUCGCGCUUUAGGGUUGGCCGAUGGCUGAUUAGCUAGUUGGUGGGGUAAAGGCCUACAAAGGCGACGAUCAGUAGCGGGUUUGAGAGGACGACCAGCCCACUGGGAAUGAGAAAACGGCCAGAACUCUAAGGGAAGGAAGCGGGGGGGAUUUUGGGCCAAUGGGGGAAAGCCUGAUCCAGCAAUGCGGGGUGGUUGAAGAAGGCCUUCGGUUUGUAAAGCACUUUUUUCCGGAAAGAAAGCCUUGGCCCUAAUACGGUCGGGGGAGGACGUUACCGGAAGAAUAGGCACCGGCUACCUACGU
Molecule: ribosomal RNA, 485 nt
Filed under: uncultured bacterium
Lineage: Bacteria
Description: partial 16S ribosomal RNA
Rfam family: Bacterial small subunit ribosomal RNA
Source: RNAcentral